RNAcentral lists this unclassified non-coding RNA (200 nucleotides) under soil metagenome. RNAcentral describes it as "partial contains internal transcribed spacer 2 and large subunit ribosomal RNA". The record is from RNAcentral.
GUCAUGGAACCCUUGGCUCGUUUCAAAUGUAUUAGCAUCUCAAUUUCGAAAUUUGGAUUGACUCAGCGUAAUAGACUAUUCGCUGAGGACACCUUUCGGGUGGCCGAAUAUCAGAUAACGAUCGAUGCUUACAGCACUCUAUCUAGUCAACUCUUUUAAGAUUAGACCUCAGAUCAGGCAGGAUUACCCGCUGAACUUAA